AAGCUGCAAGAACUUGGCUCUCUGCACAGGUUUUUGUGGCAAUAAAAGCUGCAAGAACAACUUGGCUCUCUGCAUAGUCUUGGACAUUACGGCACCGAAGAGGUCCCGAGGUGGGCGUCAGACAUCGAACGUACCUCAAAUCACCCGAGGGAAGAGGAGACGCGAAGGCAUCCCGGAAACUGCAUUUUUGCAGGUAAACCCGGGCUGGACGCUCCCGCGGGGAGGUUAGCUAUUGCCCGAGCGCAGAAGCAGAGAAGCUAAGGCGGCAGAACAACGAGCUCACAGUGGCCCCGCGCGGGCCAGCUCUCGGUUUCCAUGGCUAACGUCAACUCCGGCCUCCACCCGAAGCUGAACAGCGCGCGUGCGCGCUCGGGGACUGGGCCCGGCGCCCGGCUGGCCCCGCUGUUCCGGCUGUGCUCGCUCUGGAGACGGGCCCUGCAGUACAGCAGGCUGGGCCUCGCGGAAGCAGAGAACCAGCGCCCUCCGUUCGCGCCAGGCCUAGUCCAACAUUUUCCUGGCCAGGGGCUAUGGGAGUCGCUCCUGCUCUGGUCUAGCACCGGGCCUAGGAAAAGCGGCAGCGGCGAAGGCGAAGACGCAGCGCCAACCCUGAACUUUCCCCUGGGCCGAGUCGUUACGCAAGAGCGUCGUUGCCCUGGUGACGUGACGUCCUUCUUCAGGAUUGUGCGCCCGCAGGAGACAGACGUGCAACCGCCAUUUUGCGCAUCAGUUCACCGAAGGUCGUGUCAGGUUGUCUUAAUGCAGGUGGAGGGGUGUGACAGUGCUCCAACCGCUCUCGGUCCCGCGACUUCCAAUAAUCUCACCGACCGUCACCACUCAACACUCCGACGGUGGUAGACAAUUUGUUAAAGGACUAGUGGUGAAAGAGUACCAGUACCUCCUGUUAUGGGCCCCACUGGUGUGAGUGCUGAAGGUAAUACAAAUCUAUAUGAUCACUUUGAAAAGAAAUUUAAUCAUAUUUAUCAGCAACUCUAAAAAUGUGCAUACUUUUAACUGAUUAAUACUUUCUUGUGCAAAUGAUUCAAAAGAAGAAAAGGAUUUAUAUAUAUAUAUGUAUUUAUUGCAUAUUUCUAAUAUUGGAAAAUUGGAAGCAACUUGAAUGUUCCAAAGUUCAAUGACAAAGAAAAUUAUAGUAUUUCCCCUUGGUUGACUAAAACAUGAACAUUAGGAUGAUAAUUAUAAUAGCUUUGUAAUGCCAUGGAAAAUGGUUAGAUAUUUAAUAUGAAGAAAAUCAAAAUUAUAUAAAGUAUUGAAAUUUUAUAAAAAUAUACAAAUGAGAAAACUUGGAAUUUUACAAAAUGGUAGUUGUAUUCACAUGGAGGUGUUUCAGAUGAUCAUCUCAUUGUGUUUUUGAAAUAUCGUGUACUAUUUAACAAUGAUUCAUAAAAUAUUUUAAUGUAUAAAAGUCCUUAAUAACAUACAACCUUUAUGCAUUGCUGAUGAGAAUGUAAAAUGGUGUAGCUGCUGUGGAAAACAAUAUGAUGGCUCUUGAAAUUGUUAAACAUAGAAUUACCAUAUGAUCCAGCAGUUCCACUUCUAAGAUACCCAAAAGAAUUAAAAGUAGGGACUCUAACAGAUAUUGUAUGCCCAUUUUCAUAGCAGCAUUAUUCACUAUAGCCAAGUGGUAGAAGUAAACCAAGUAUUCAUAAACAGAUGAAUGGAUAUGCAAAAUGUAUAUACAUACAAUGGAAUAUUAUUUAGCCUUAAGAAGGAAGGAAGAAGUUCUGACACAUGUUGCAACAUGGAUGAUAAACUCUUUUUUUUGCUUUUUGAGACAGGGUCUUGCUCUGUCACCUAGGCUGGAGUGCAGUGGCAGGAUGCUCACUGCAGCCUCGACCUCCUGGGCUCAAGCAAUCCUCCCAUCUUGGUCUAUUGAGUAGCUGGGACUACAGGCAUGCACCUCCAUGCCCGGGUAAUUUUUUUUUUUUAAUAUACUUUAAGUUCUGGGGUACCUAUGCAGGACAUGCAGGUUUGUUAUGUAGGUAUAUAUGUGCCAUGGUGGUUUGCUACAUCCAUUACCCCAUCAUCUACAUUAGGUAUUUCUCCUAAUGCUAUCCCUCCCUAUCGCCCCCACCCCCUGCUAAUCCCUCCCCUAGCC
Molecule: long non-coding RNA, 2116 nt
Organism: Aotus nancymaae (Ma's night monkey)
Lineage: Eukaryota; Metazoa; Chordata; Mammalia; Primates; Aotidae
Source: Ensembl